RNAcentral lists this ribosomal RNA (613 nucleotides) under human oral metagenome. RNAcentral's name for it is "bacterial LSU rRNA". It matches the Rfam family "Bacterial large subunit ribosomal RNA", at positions 2318 to 2925 of the family's 2925-position model. The record is from RNAcentral.
ACGCUUGGUACGGUCGGACAUCGUGCCUAAAGUGCAAUGGCAAAAGCGUGCUUAACUGCGAGACUGACAAGUCGAGCAGGUGCGAAAGCAGGACAUAGUGAUCCGGUGGUUCUGUAUGGAAGGGCCAUCGCUCAACGGAUAAAAGGUACUCUGGGGAUAACAGGCUGAUACCGCCCAAGAGUUCAUAUCGACGGCGGUGUUUGGCACCUCGAUGUCGGCUCAUCUCAUCCUGGGGCUGUAGCCGGUCCCAAGGGUAUGGCUGUUCGCCAUUUAAAGAGGUACGUGAGCUGGGUUUAAAACGUCGUGAGACAGUUUGGUCCCUAUCUGCUGUGGGCGUUGGAGAUUUGACGGGGGCUGCUCCUAGUACGAGAGGACCGGAGUGGACACACCUCUGGUGUACCUGUUGUCACGCCAGUGGCAUCGCAGGGUAGCUAAGUGUGGAAGAGAUAACCGCUGAAAGCAUCUAAGCGGGAAACUUGCCUGAAGAUGAGAUCUCCCUGGGGACUCGAUCCCCCUGAAGGGUCGUCCAAGACCAGGACGUUGAUAGGCCGGGUGUGGAAGCGCAGUAAUGCGUGCAGCUAACCGGUACUAAUUGCCCGUGAGGCUUGACCCU